This is a non-coding RNA of Pelobates cultripes (western spadefoot toad), 203 nucleotides long. The record is from the annotation of a GenBank genome assembly. NCBI's taxonomy places the organism in Eukaryota, Metazoa, Chordata, Amphibia, Anura, Pelobatidae.
GUUUGUAGUGACUGAGUGUUGUGUGUGCAGUGUUCAAGUGUGUGUAUUUUGCUCACCUCCUGCUUACCUUUCCCUGGUGGACCGGUGAGAGUGAAAGGUGAGUUGGAUUCCCUAGUGGUCCAGUGGGGAGUCAUUGUGUUCUGCACCAAUAUACUGUGAGCUCCCUGACAGUUCUGGAGCUCCGUUAAUAACUCAGAAAGCUG